GAUGAAGAACGUAGCGAAAUGCGAUAAGUAAUGUGAAUUGCAGAAUUCAGUGAAUCAUCGAAUCUUUGAACGCACAUUGCGCCCGUCAGUAUUCUGGCGGGCAUGCCUGUUCGAGCGUCAUUACGCCCCUCAAGUCCCCUGUGGACUUGGUGUUGGGGAUCGGCGAGGCUGGUUUUCCAGCACAGCCGGCCCUUAGAUUAAUUGGCGGUCUCGCCGUGGCCCUCCUCUGCGCAGUAGUAAAACACUCGCAACAGGAGCCCGGUGCGGUCCACUGCCGUAAAACCCCCCAACUUUUUAUAGUUGACCUCGAAUCAGGUAGGACUACCCGCUGAACUUAAGCAUAUCAAUAAGCGGAGGA
RNAcentral lists this unclassified non-coding RNA (358 nucleotides) under soil metagenome. RNAcentral's name for it is "partial contains 5.8S ribosomal RNA, internal transcribed spacer 2, and large subunit ribosomal RNA". The stretch from base 1 to 120 matches the Rfam family "5.8S ribosomal RNA", at positions 35 to 154 of the family's 154-position model. The record is from RNAcentral.